UAAGAUGAGAGCAUGAGCCACACAGUUAUCUGAAAGAAGGGCAGUUCAAAGAGAAAGAAGGAGAUGUGCUUGACAUAUGUGAAAAACGAGGAACCCAUGUGACUGGAGAAGAGCAGGCAGAAGCGGGGUGAAAGACCCUGAGCGCAGAGGCGUACAGAAGGCAAGAGCACGCACAGCCCUACAGACCAUGAGGGAAGGACUUUCGGAUUUUAUUCAGAGUCAAAAAAAUCAGAAUGGUGUAUUAGCUACCCUGAGCAUCUCUCCCAAUUGAAACACCCUGGAUAAAAUAUGAGAAAUUAUUUUUAAAAAUACAUGAUCUUGCUAACAUCAAAGAAGGAAAAAAACAGAGUCUCAAAAUGAAGUGAAAACAGGAAUCUUAGGAGGAACCUAAGAAAUGCAACAUGCAAUCAAGUGAUCGUCUUGUGUGGGAGCUGCAGACAUGAAGUCACCACUGAGGGCACUGAAACAUCCCCCUUCCACACAGCUCACCUGCUUUGGGAUGGAUAUUUAUGCUGUUUACAACUGACCACAAGUGCACACAGUGCUGCGUGGGUCUUCUUCACUACACAGCUUGGCAGAUUUUCUGUAAGCGGAAUGUGGACUCAGCAAAUAAGGACCCCUUUCACCACCCUUUACAGUCUUUCAAAGCACAAGGCUACUGCUGACAUCAAAGAGCACUUGAAGAAUGAAGAGGCAGGAAAGAUAAUUA
Molecule: long non-coding RNA, 709 nt
Organism: Physeter macrocephalus (sperm whale)
Lineage: Eukaryota; Metazoa; Chordata; Mammalia; Artiodactyla; Physeteridae
Exons: 5
Source: RefSeq, a predicted model, not a curated record